GGUUUCGUGGUCGAGUGGUAAGGACACUUACCUCUCAUCCAAGAGUCCCGGAUUCGAUCCCCGGUCAAGAAGCUU
Molecule: non-coding RNA, 75 nt
Organism: Rhamnusium bicolor
Lineage: Eukaryota; Metazoa; Arthropoda; Insecta; Coleoptera; Cerambycidae
Source: the annotation of a GenBank genome assembly